UGGGGAGUAGCUCAGUUGGUUAGAGCGACGACAUCGUAAUGUCGUAGGUCGCCGGUUCAAGUCCGGCCUCCCCAC
This 75-nucleotide transfer RNA is filed under the name Candidatus Doudnaibacteriota bacterium. RNAcentral's name for it is "Candidatus Doudnabacteria bacterium tRNA-Thr". It matches the Rfam family "tRNA". From Rfam's summary of the family: Transfer RNA (tRNA) molecules are approximately 80 nucleotides in length. Their secondary structure includes four short double-helical elements and three loops (D, anti-codon, and T loops). Lineage: Bacteria; Candidatus Doudnaibacteriota. The record is from RNAcentral.